Aegilops tauschii subsp. strangulata is the source of this 3209-nucleotide non-coding RNA. The record is from RefSeq and is a predicted model, not a curated record. NCBI's taxonomy places the organism in Eukaryota, Viridiplantae, Streptophyta, Magnoliopsida, Poales, Poaceae.
UUUUGUGAUAGCACAAUAUAAUCAUAUUUACUCCAUUUAAAUGAGCAGGAAACAUAUAUAAUAGACAUUUGGAAAGUACCCCAUAUAAAAAAGUAUUAACUGUUAAUUAAGGUUGCAUCCAAAACAUAAUAUUAAAAAUGAUUAACAUGCAAGAUAUAUUGCAUACUUGGAAUCUACAUAUUUUCUGUGGCAUUUUCAUAUAUAAUAAAUUAUAUUUGAAAUUAGGGUUUAAAAGAUAUGAAUGUUUCAAAAAGCAUUUUGAAUCUGCCUGAAAAAACAAAAAUAAAACAUUAAAACGGAGUAGCGCUGGGCCUAAAAAGGAAGCCUAGCGUCGGAGUUAUAUCCUACACCCAUAAAAAAUCGGAAUUACGGUUUAAAGGAUACAGAUAAUUUAGAAAAUCAUUUGUCUGACUUAAUAUCUUCCAAAAUAAUAUUUAAAAAUACUUAACAGGUAAAAAAUAAUCUCAUAUUCAUAUUCUACAUAUUUUUCUAAUCAAAUUUCAUAUAUAACAAAUAGAGGAACUUUUCUGAAAAAUGACAUGACGGACGACCAGAAGCACUAUUUGGUUUAUUAUUAGGGGAAGAUAUCUAUUCAAACAUGUCCGUGAAUUGCAACGGGAGAAAAAAAAAUCACCCCUCAAACACACUCGACGACAUCUGACGGGAAUCAACAUCUCAUAUAGUGCCAAUAAUAACUUUUGUGAUAGCACAAUAUAAUCAUAUUUACUCCAUUUAAAUGAGCAGGAAACAUAUAUAAUAAACAUUUGGAAAGUACCCCAUAUAAAAAAGUAUUAACUGUUAAUUAAGGUUGCAUCCAAAAUAUAAUAUUAAAAAUGAUUAACAUGGAAGAUAUAUUGCAUACUUGGAAUCUACAUAUUUUCUGUGGCAUUUUCAUAUAUAAUAAAUUAUAUUUGAAAUUAGGGUUUAAAAGAUAUGAAUGUUUCAAAAAGCAUUUUGAAUCUGCCUGAAAAACAAAAAUAAAACAUUAAAACGGAGUAGCGCUGGGCCUAAAAAGGAAGCCCAGGGGCGGAGUUAUAUCCUACACCCAUAAAAAUCGGAAUUACGGUUUAAAAGAUACAGAUAAUUUAGAAAAUCAUUUGUCUGACUUAAUAUCUUCCAAAAUAAUAUUUAAAAAUACUUAAUAGGUAAAAAAUAAUCUCAUAUUCAUAUUCUACAUAUUUUUGUAAUCAAAUUUCAUAUAUAACAAAUAGAGGAACUUUUCUGAAAAAUGCCAUGACGGACGACCAGAAGCACUAUUUGGUUUAUUAUUAGGGGAAGAUAUCUAUGCAAACAUGUCCGUGCGUUGCAACGGGAGAAAAAAAAUCACCCCUCAAACACACUCGACGACAUCUGACGGGAAUCAACAUCUCAUAUAGUGCCAAUAAUAACUUUGGUGAUAGCACAAUAUAAUCAUAUUAUUCCAUUUAAAUGAGCAGGAAACAUAUAUAAUAGACAUUUGGAAAGUACCCCAUAUAAAAAAGUAUUAACUGUUAAUUAAGGUUGCAUCCAAAACAUAAUAUUAAAAAUGAUUAACAUGCAAGAUAUAUUGCAUACUUGGAAUCUACAUAUUUUCUGUGGCAUUUUCAUAUAUAAUAAAUUAUAUUUGAAAUUAGGGUUUAAAAGAUAUGAAUGUUUCAAAAAGCAUUUUGAAUCUGCCUGAAAAAUAAAUAAAUAAAACAUUAAAACGGAGUAGCGCUGGGCCUAAAAAGGAAGCCCAGGGUCGGAGUUAUAUCCUACACCCAUAAAAAAUCGGAAUUACGGUUUAAGAGAUACAGAUAAUUUAGAAAAUCAUUUGUCUGACUUAAUAUCUUCCAAAAUAAUAUUUAAAAAUACUUAACAGGUAAAAAAUAAUCUCAUAUUCAUAUUCUACAUAUUUUUCUAAUCAAAUUUCAUAUAUAACAAAUAGAGGAACUUUUCUGAAAAAUUCCAUGACGGACGACCAGAAGCACUAUUUGGUUUAUUAUUAGGGGAAGAUAUCUAUGCAAACAUGUCCGUGCGUUGCAACGGGAGAAAAAAAAUCACCCCUCAAACACACUCGACGACAUCUGACGGGAAUCAACAUCUCAUAUAGUGCCAAUAAUAACUUUUGUGAUAGCACAAUAUAAUCAUAUUUACUCCAUUUAAAUGAGCAGGAAACAUAUAUAAUAGACAUUUGGAAAGUAGCCCAUAUAAAAAAGUAUUAACUGUUAAUUAAGGUUGCAUCCAAAACAUAAUAUUAAAAAUGAUUAACAUGCAAGAUAUAUUGCAUACAUGGAAUCUACAUAUUUUCUGUGGCAUUUUCAUAUAUAAUAAAUUAUAUUUGAAAUUAGGGUUUAAAAGAUAUGAAUGUUUCAAAAAGCAUUUUGAAUCUGCCUGAAAAAACAAAAAUAAAACAUUAAAACGGAGUAGCGCUGGGCCUAAAAGGGAAGCCCAGGGGCGGAGUUAUAUCCUACACCCAUAAAAAAUCGGAAUUACGGUUUAAAAGAUACAGAUAAUUUAGAAAAUCAUUUGUCUGACUUAAUAUCUUCCAAAAUAAUAUUUAAAAAUACUUAACAGGUAAAAAAUAAUCUCAUAUUCAUAUUGUACAUAUUUUUCUAAUUAAAUUUCAUAUAUAACAAAUAGAGGAACUUUUCUGAAAAAUGCCAUGACGGACGACCAGAAGCACUAUUUGGUUUAUUAUUAGGGGAAGAUAUCUAUGCAAACAUGUCCGUUCGUUGCAACGGGAGAAAAAAAAAAUCACCCCUCAAACACACUCGACGACAUCUGACGGGAAUCAACAUCUCAUAUAGUGCCAAUAAUAACUUUUGUGAUAGCACAAUAUAAUCAUAUUUACUCCAUUUAAAUGAGCAGGAAACAUAUAUAAUAGACAUUUGGAAAGUACCCCAUAUAAAAAAGUAUUAACUGUUAAUUAAGGUUGCAUCCAAAACAUAAUAUUAAAAAUGAUUAACAUGCAAGAUAUAUUGCAUACUUGGAAUCUACAUAUUUUCUGUGGCAUUUUCAUAUAUAAUAAAUUAUAUUUGAAAUUAGGGUUUAAAAGAUAUGAAUGUUUCAAAAAGCAUUUUGAAUCUGCCUGAAAAAACAAAAAUAAAACAUUAAAACGGAGUAGCGCUGGGCCUAAAAAGGAAGCCCAGGGGCGGAGUUAUAUCCUACACCCAUAAAAAAUCGGAAUUACGGUUUAAAAGAUACAGAUAAUUUAGAAAAUCAUUUGUCUGACUUAAUAUCUUCCAAAA